RNAcentral lists this unclassified non-coding RNA (296 nucleotides) under uncultured Ascomycota. Its description in RNAcentral is "sequence contains ITS1". The stretch from base 1 to 105 matches the Rfam family "5.8S ribosomal RNA", at positions 50 to 154 of the family's 154-position model. The record is from RNAcentral. Lineage: Eukaryota; Fungi; Ascomycota.
GAAAUGCGAUAAGUAAUGUGAAUUGCAGAAUUCAGUGAAUCAUCGAAUCUUUGAACGCACAUUGCGCCCUCUGGUAUUCCGGGGGGCACACCUGUUCGAGCGUCAUUUCAACACUCAAGCCUAGCUUGGUAUUGAGCGCCGCCCUACCGGCGCGCUUUAAACCCCUCGGCGUCGCCGUCUGUCCCCAAGCGCAGCGAGAUUUAUUUCAGCGUGAGGAUCGGGCCGUGUCCGCCGGAGAACACCCUUUAUUUUCUAAGGUUGACCUCGGAUCAGGUGGGGAUACCCGCUGAACUUAA